GAAAUGCGAUAAGUAAUGUGAAUUGCAGAAUUCAGUGAAUCAUCAAAUCUUUGAACGCACAUUGCGCCCGGCAGCAAUCUGCCGGGCAUGCCUGUCCGAGCGUCAUUUCUGCCCUCGAGCGCGGUUCGGCCCCUAGCGGGCCGGCCGCCGCCCGGUGUUGGGGCGCUGCGGGCCCUCGUGCCCGCAGGCCCUGAAAUGAAGUGGCGGUCCCGCCGCGGCGCCCCCUGCGUAGUAGUAAAGCACCUCGCAUCGGGUCCCGGCGGAGGCCAGCCGUCGAACCUCUCUUUUGAUGGUUUGACCUCGGAUCAGGUAGGGUUACCCGCUGAACUUAAGC
Molecule: unclassified non-coding RNA, 334 nt
Filed under: plant metagenome
Description: partial contains 5.8S ribosomal RNA, internal transcribed spacer 2, and large subunit ribosomal RNA
Rfam family: 5.8S ribosomal RNA (bases 1-105)
Source: RNAcentral